This 402-nucleotide ribosomal RNA is filed under the name uncultured bacterium. Its description in RNAcentral is "bacterial SSU rRNA". It matches the Rfam family "Bacterial small subunit ribosomal RNA", at positions 355 to 774 of the family's 1533-position model. The record is from RNAcentral.
UGGGGAAUCUUGGACAAUGGGCGCAAGCCUGAUCCAGCCAUGCCGCGUGAGUGAAGAAGGCCUUAGGGUUGUAAAGCUCUUUUGCCAGGGACGAUAAUGACGGUACCUGGAGAAUAAGCCCCGGCAAACUUCGUGCCAGCAGCCGCGGUAAUACGAAGGGGGCUAGCGUUGUUCGGAUUUACUGGGCGUAAAGCGCACGUAGGCGGGUCGUUAAGUCAGGGGUGAAAUCCCGGAGCUCAACUCCGGAACUGCCUUUGAUACUGGCGACCUUGAGGCUGGAAGAGGGUAGUGGAAUUCCCAGUGUAGAGGUGAAAUUCGUAGAUAUUGGGAAGAACACCAGUGGCGAAGGCGGCUAACUGGUCCAGAUCUGACGCUGAGGUGCGAAAGCGUGGGGAGCAAACA